GUUGACGCUACCUUUUAGCGACAAUGAAAUUAUCUUCCUUUAUUCCUCCAUUGUCCUCCAGACGGUCCUUUUAUGUAAUAAAUAUAAUGCUCCAUCUGUAUACGUAAUACGUCUAUGCUCCGAGAUGUAGGAAUUACCUGGUCUGAAGUACUGUCGAUCUUGUCGACCUUUGUGGUUUAAUUAAUCGAUUCAAUGAUUAUUGUAUAUAAAUCAUCGAAUAUCUUACUUAUAUUUUGAUCUGUCGAAAAAAUUAUUACAUUGACAUUAUAGAUCAAUAUAUAUAAUUGCAAAUUUAUAAUUUAAUAUUGCUAGUCAAAUGCCUAAUGUCAUAAUGUCUAAGAAUGUAUAUUAUAUAUAUUGAUGUAUAUGAUAAUGUUAAAAAUUAAAAAUAAAUUGCCAUCAGUAUUAAAUAAUUAAAUAAAAAUGGAGGAGAGAGCAAUGCUAUGGAUGCUUUCUCUUGUUAUGUUUGUUGGAUCUUGUCUUGGAGCUGGAUCACUGCCAUUAAGUUAAAUAAAUUUAUCAGAAGAAGACAAGUUACAAUUAGUUUCAAUAUUAGGAGCAGGACUCCUUGUUGGUACUGCGCUAGCGAUUAUACCUGACUAUACCUGAGGGUGUAAGAGCAUUAUUUACUGUGGAUGGUAUUACUAAUGAAAAAGGUUCAUGUGGCAACAUUACAUACUUUAAUUGGAAUUAGUUUAGUACUUGGUUUAUGCUUUUAAUCGAUCAAUGUUCAGCCAGAAAAAGUGGAGGAAGACAAGAAAGUAUUACAGCAACUUUAGGUCUUAUAGUAGAUGCUGCGGAGUUGCGUUGGGAGCUGCUGCUACUACAUCUCAAGCUGAUGUCGAAGUGUCUUAGUUUUUCUUCGCAAUAAUGUUGCACAAAGCGCCAGAUGCAUUUGGACUUGUGUCAGUUUCUUCUUCAUGAAGGUGUAGAUAGAAAGUAAGAAAAUAAGCAGACACUUAUUAAUUUUCUCUCUUGCGGCACCGUGUCUUGUGACAUACACUUGUGACAUAUUUUGGAAUUGGAAAAGACAUUCAGGACUGCCGCGCAAGACUGCACGCGCCAAUCAGGCGCGAGAGCGGACGCGGACGCGCGAAGACACCCAAUCAGGAGCGAGGACUGCCGUGCGUGCGCGAAGACGUCCAAUCAGGCGCGGGAACUGCCGCGCACGCCGCCAAGACUCCCAAUCAGGCGCGAGGACUGCCGCGGACGCGCGAAGACGUCCAAUCAGGCGCGAGGACUGCCGAACAUGCGCGAAAUUGCAAAUUUGAAGGACAAGUUACAAUUAGUUUCAAUAUUAGGAGCAGGACUCCUUGUUGGUACUGCGCUAGCGAUUAUACCUGACUAUACCUGAGGGUGUAAGAGCAUUAUUUACUGUGGAUGGUAUUACUAAUGAAAAAGGUUCAUGUGGCAACAUUACAUACUUUAAUUGGAAUUAGUUUAGUACUUGGUUUAUGCUUUUAAUCGAUCAAUGUUCAGCCAGAAAAAGUGGAGGAAGACAAGAAAUGUAUUACAGCAACUUUAGGUCUUAUAGUAGAUGCUGCGGAGUUGCGUUGGGAGCUGCUGCUACUACAUCUCAAGCUGAUGUCGAAGUGUCUUAGUUUUUCUUCGCAAUAAUGUUGCACAAAGCGCCAGAUGCAUUUGGACUUGUGUCAGUUUCUUCUUCAUGAAAGUGUAGAUAGAAAGUAAGAAAAUAAGCAGACACUUAUUAAUUUUCUCUCUUGCGGCACCGUGUCU
This 1737-nucleotide small RNA is filed under the name Camponotus floridanus (Florida carpenter ant). RNAcentral's name for it is "uncharacterized LOC105254815, transcript variant X7". Lineage: Eukaryota; Metazoa; Arthropoda; Insecta; Hymenoptera; Formicidae. The record is from RNAcentral.